Medicago truncatula (barrel medic) is the source of this 360-nucleotide long non-coding RNA. RefSeq lists it as uncharacterized. NCBI's taxonomy places the organism in Eukaryota, Viridiplantae, Streptophyta, Magnoliopsida, Fabales, Fabaceae. The record is from RefSeq and is a predicted model, not a curated record. The transcript has 2 exons.
ACCAGUUUUACGUGAAAACAUCAGUUUUGGGGAGAAACCAAGAACAAGGGAGAGAAGAGCAAGAGGAACCAAGGAAACUGAAUUGCUGUGCGGUUUUCUUCUGAAUUAAGGUGAUUCCGAGUAGUAGGUGUGGUGGCUCAACUGUCUAGGGCUCUGAUAUGUACGGGAUGGGAAUUAGUUAUCUUUAUUUUCAUUCCUUAUGUAUCAAUUUUGGAAUUAUGCUGUGGAGCCUUUUUAUUGUUAUUUGAACAAUGUUGUUGACUUUAUGUUGAGGCCUUUCGUGCCAUAAAAUGUUGUUGGAUGUUUACGAUGAUAAAGAUUUGAAAACUAUUCCGUUGCUAUGUUUUGAUAUUUUAUGAA